RNAcentral lists this ribosomal RNA (680 nucleotides) under uncultured beta proteobacterium. RNAcentral's name for it is "bacterial SSU rRNA". It matches the Rfam family "Bacterial small subunit ribosomal RNA", at positions 78 to 755 of the family's 1533-position model. Lineage: Bacteria; Pseudomonadati; Pseudomonadota; Betaproteobacteria. The record is from RNAcentral.
CUUCGGAUGCUGACGAGUGGCGAACGGGUGAGUAAUACAUCGGAACGUGCCCGAGAGUGGGGGAUAACGAAGCGAAAGCUUUGCUAAUACCGCAUACGAUCUCAGGAUGAAAGCAGGGGACCGCAAGGCCUUGCGCUCACGGAGCGGCCGAUGGCAGAUUAGGUAGUUGGUGGGAUAAAAGCUUACCAAGCCGACGAUCUGUAGCUGGUCUGAGAGGACGACCAGCCACACUGGGACUGAGACACGGCCCAGACUCCUACGGGAGGCAGCAGUGGGGAAUUUUGGACAAUGGGCGCAAGCCUGAUCCAGCCAUGCCGCGUGCAGGAUGAAGGCCUUCGGGUUGUAAACUGCUUUUGUACGGAACGAAAAGACUCUGGUUAAUACCUGGGGUCCAUGACGGUACCGUAAGAAUAAGCACCGGCUAACUACGUGCCAGCAGCCGCGGUAAUACGUAGGGUGCGAGCGUUAAUCGGAAUUACUGGGCGUAAAGCGUGCGCAGGCGGUUAUGUAAGACAGAUGUGAAAUCCCCGGGCUCAACCUGGGAACUGCAUUUGUGACUGCAUAGCUAGAGUACGGCAGAGGGGGAUGGAAUUCCGCGUGUAGCAGUGAAAUGCGUAGAUAUGCGGAGGAACACCGAUGGCGAAGGCAAUCCCCUGGGCCUGUACUGACGCUCAUGCACG